This 447-nucleotide ribosomal RNA is filed under the name uncultured bacterium. RNAcentral describes it as "bacterial SSU rRNA". It matches the Rfam family "Bacterial small subunit ribosomal RNA", at positions 954 to 1404 of the family's 1533-position model. The record is from RNAcentral.
UGGGAACGCGAAGAACCUUACCAGGGCUUGACAUCCUACUAAUGAAGCAGAGAUGCAUUAAGUGCCCUUCGGGGAAAGUAGAGACAGGUGGUGCAUGGUUGUCGUCAGCUCGUGUCGUGAGAUGUUGGGUUAAGUCCCGCAACGAGCGCAACCCCUAUUGUUAGUUGCUACGCAAGAGCACUCUAGCGAAACUGCCGUUGACAAAACGGAGGAAGGUGGGGACGACGUCAAAUCAUCAUGCCCCUUAUGUCCUGGGCCACACACGUAAUACAAUGGCGGUCAACAGAGGGAUGCUAAGCCGUGAGGUGGAGCGAACCCCUAAAAGCCGUCUCAGUUCGGAUUGCAGGCUGCAACUCGCCUGCAUGAAGUCGGAAUCGCUAGUAAUCGCGGAUCAGCAUGCCGCGGUGAGUACGUUCCCGGGUCUUGUACACACCGAGUCUUGUACAC